This 334-nucleotide ribosomal RNA is filed under the name uncultured bacterium. Its description in RNAcentral is "bacterial LSU rRNA". It matches the Rfam family "Bacterial large subunit ribosomal RNA", at positions 115 to 468 of the family's 2925-position model. The record is from RNAcentral.
UGAAUGGGGCAACCCUUAGAACGGCCAGCUGAAUAUAUAGGCUGGCGCGAGCCAACCCAGCGAACUGAAACAUCUUAGUAGCUGGAGGAAAGGAAAGUAAAAACGACUCCCUAAGUAGCGGCGAGCGAACGGGGAAGAGCCUAAACCAAUGGUUUCGACCAUUGGGGUUGUGGGACAGCAACGUGGAUCAGGAAUGUUAGUGGAAGUGUUUGAAAGACACGCCAUAGAAGGUGAAAGCCCCGUACACGAAAACUGAACUGACCUAGCUGUAUCCCGAGUAGCACGGAGCACGUGGAAUUCCGUGUGAAUCAGCGAGGUCCGGAAAGUAAGGCUU